AGGAUUCAAUGUGGACAAGGUAAGUUGCAGAAGACUGUAGACCUCCAGAUGAAGGUGUCAAGAACUCAGUUGUGUGGUUGAGUUUGGAGUUCAAGAGGAAGCAUUUGGAGUAGAAAAAUCAGUAUGGGAUUUGUCAGUACAUAGUUGAUACUAAAAGCCUUAUCGCCAUAUUUUCACAUGCAUUACUUCAGCUGUAUUUAUUGCAGUGGGUAGAACAACUAUUUGUCCCACUUCUAAGUAAGAAAUCACAAAAGAAGCUUUUAAGCAUUUUCCAUUACGCUUAUUAACAUUUUAAGACUUUGCAUCGAAUAGUACAUGAUUUUAGAUCAGCGAGAAAGAUUGCAGACAUUUUUAUGGUCUUUUGAAUCCUGCUGGCUUCAUGCUGUUAUUAGCUAGUAUCUUAUGAUAUAGCACAGUCAGGUGAGGGCCAUUGUUAGUGGUAGUGGGUGCAAAUUAGUAUUCAUCCAACGGCGUAGUAAUUUUGCUGAAAAAGAUAGUUCUGGAAACAAAACAGUCGCUGCCACUUUUUCUCUUAUUCCCUUAGGCUUAUCCUAUUAUUGCACUCUAUCCACAAAAACUUCUUCUUUUUUUGGGGGGGGUGGAUUUUAAUUUAUUUUAGUGGUAGGGUUACAGACAGUAAGAGGGAGACAGAGAGAUCUUCCAUCCACUGGUUCACUCCUCAAAUGGCCGCAGUGGCCGAAGCUGAGUCUAUCCAAAGCCAGGAGCCAGAAGCUCUUCCAUGUCUCCCACAUGGGCGCAGGGGCCCAAGCACUUGGGCCAUCUUCCACUGCUUUCCCAGGCAUAGCAGAGAGCUGGAUCACAAGAGGAGCUGCCGGGACUAGAACUGGCGCCCAUAUGGGAUGCUGGCACUGCAGGCGGAGGAUUAACCUACUGUGCCACAGCUCCAGCCCCCAUAAUAGCUUCUUAAGCUAAGGGUCUAUUUUGCAAUAACUAGCUUGGUUAACCCUAGAUAACAUCAUCCAUAAAUCCACUGUCACUGACACCAUGAACUGCCAUCCAUCAUGGCAAUAUGCAAAAAAGGAGAGGUGUCGUCUUCAAUCCCUGGAGAAGUUUGUUUUCACUUAAGAUACUCUCCUUUACUAACAAGAAAUGUGACAUGACUCAGGCAUGAAGGUGCCCACGCCUGUCCAUGAGUUACAGAUCACAGGAACUUACCUUUCUCUAAAUGGUUUUUUUUUGGACAGGCAGAGUGGACAGUGAGAGAGAGAGAGACAGAGAGAAAGGUCUUCCUUUUCCGUUGGUUCACUCCCCAAUGGCCACUGCAGCUGGCGCGCUAUGGCCGGCGCACCGCGCUGAUCCACAGCCAAGAGCCAGGUGCUUCUCCUGGUCUCCCAUGUGGGUGCAGGGCCCAAGGACCUGGGCCAUCCUCCACUGCACUCCCGGGCCACAGCAGAGAGCUGGACUGGAAGAGGAGCAACUGGGACAGAAUCCGGUGCCCCGACCGGGACUAGAACCCAGUGUGCCGGCGCUGCAGGCAGAGGAUUAGCCUGUUGAGCCGCGGCGCCAGCCACCUUUCUCUAACUUUUUAGAAAAAAAUUAACAUAAAUAGAAAUUUCAAUGUGUUCUUCCUGCCUCUCCCCACCCCACUCUGUGCCUCCUCCCUUGCCCUCAACAUCAGCUCUCUGCUUUGGUCCGGUCCUCUUACUGUCAAAGAGAGUGACAAAUGAGGCCAUGUGAGAGUCACAAUGGAGACUGGGCCUAGAAGUGAAAUAAACAGAAUGCCCAUUAACACCUCAUUUAUCGCACACCACAGUGACACAGAAUGAAAGACCAAGCUUCAAACAGAGAACACAGAGUAGCCGAAGUGCCCUUGUCAAACUGUAAAGGCUUGUCUGUAAACUAUUUAGAAAAUUAAGCUGUGCUCAUUUUCUCCCCUGAGGCCAUGGGUAUGAAGCUGUUUUUGUAGGCUGGCCAAAAUUUAACUGGAAAAAUCAUGGCUUUUGCAACUCUGUGUGGCAUCCGCAGCAAAAUCGGCUAUUCCCAAUGGAUUGAGAACUUCUUUCCUUAGCUCAGUACUUGAACUUGAACUUCAUUCCAAAUGGCUCAGUACACCUAACAUUUUAUUUAGAAAUUGAGUGAUAUUUAUUUUACACUCUAUCAGAAACUGAAAACUUGUUUUAUUCAACCACAAAAUAAGCAAAUUUUGUUUACUUUCUCUGAGUAACUAAGAAGUUUUUUUAAGAUUUAUUUAUUUGAAAAGCAAAGUUAGAGAGAGACAGAGACAGAGACAAUCUUCCAUGGGCUGGUUCACUCUCCAAAUGGCUACAAUGGCUGGGGCUGGGGCUUGGCCAGGCCAAAGCCAGAAGAGCCUGGAACUCCAUCUGGAUCCCCCACGUGGGUAUAGGAGCCCACAUAUUUGGGUCAUCUCCUGCUGCUUUCCUAGUGCAUUAGCAGGGAGCUGGAUUGGAAGUGGAGCAGCCAGGACUCGGGACAUGAACUAGGACUCAUGUGGUGUCACAGGCAAAGGCUUAACCCACUGCACCACAAUGCUGGCCUCAAAACACCUUUUUCAACAGUAAGCCUGGUUUUUUAAAGAUUUAUUUUUAUUUAUUUGAAAGUCAGAGUUACGGAGAGAGGCAGAGACAGAGAGAGAGGACUUCCAUCCACUGGUCCACUCCCCAGAUGGCUGCAACGGCCAGAGCUGCGCCGAUCCGAAGCCAGGAGCCAGGAGCUUCUUCCAGCUCUCCCACGUGGGUGCAGGGACCCAAGCACUUGGACCAUCCUCCACUGCUUUCCCAGGCCAUAGCAGAGAGCUGGAUCGGAAAUGGAGCAGCCAGGACUAGAACUGGCGCCCAUAUGUGAUGCCGGUGCUUCAGGCCAGGGCUUUAACCCACUGUGCCACAGUGCCAGCCCCUACAGUAAGCCUAAUAGUAAAGCUGGUGGUGAGAAUGUGAAUGGCUUUCCUCAGUGACCUAACUCCAAAUUACUUGACUGCUAUGCAGUACAGUCAGGGUUCCCAAAUUCAGGAUCACACUCCCAGCGCCUCCUUUUCUUCUGUAAUUCACAGGAUUACAUUCUCCUCUUGCUCACAGAAACCCAAACCAGAGCGCAUUGAACAUAGCAGCUACUAUUCAAUCAUUGGAAGCGCAUUAGCAGGCACGCACCCCAAACUAAUCCAACACCAGUCACACGUGUCUGGCAGAACUGUCUCUGUAAAGCAGAAUUAGCUGGUUGCACUCUGAGGAGCAACACUGUACAGAAAUGGCUCAAGUUCAACCACUAACCAUGACACUGUGUAGCCAAGCUGCUUGUAACUAGGGCUUCCAUGGACUUAUGGGACAACCAACAGCAAAGCUAAGGCAGAAUUUUUAUAAAAGCGAGGCAGAAAAAGGGUGAGAAAUGAUCUAGGUAUUUUUCCAAGAAGCAAAGACAUAGUUGACUUAGCAGAGAUUCCCAGGAGCUGGCGAUGAUGUGCAGUGUGUUAAGGUGCCACCUGGGGUUGCCAGCAUCCCAUAGCAGAGCGCUGGUUUGAGUCCUGGCUGCUCUGUUUCCGACCCAGCUCUCUGUUCAUGUGCCUGGAAAAGCAGCAAAGGAUGGCUCAGGUGCUUGGGCACCUACCGCCCACAUGGGGGACCUGAAUGGAGUUCAAGGGUUCGGCUUCAGUCUAACCCAGCUCCAGCCAUUGUGGUCAUUAGGGAGUGAACCAGUGGAUAGGAGCACCCUUUCUCUAUCUCUUUACUUUUCAAAUGAAUAAAAUAAACCUUAAAAAAAGGUCUCCCUGAAGAUGGAGGAGGUAUCCAGAAUUCACUCUAAGGAGCUGGAGGACUUCAUGCUUUCGCCUCCCACUGCAAUACCACCUCCUGCAAGUCCUGUCAGUUCUUCAGUCCUGGGAGAAAGGGAGCUUUAUCACCCCUACCCUCACCCUUGGUGGGCUUCACAAGCCAAGUAACAGACUCUACCUUUGGAAAGAACGGGGGAAACGCUGUGCAGUCUGACCAAGUGGCUAAUCUAGCUGUGUGUCUUGAAUGUGUUUUGAAAAUAAGCUCAGGCAGCUUGUUAUACCUCUGGGCCAGAGCUCUUUCAUCUGAUUAUCCAGAUCUGCUCUCCAUCCUCCCCGCCCUCGGAUGCUGACCUGUGUGUAUGGACUCAGGAACAUACACCCUUGCUCUCGGGCUGGGGGCGGGGCACCUUAGAAAGAGAAAGGAGAAUGGGAAUACGAUCAAACAGGGUUAAUUCCCUGCUCCCUCUAUUAGCCUGGCUGUGUCCUCCAAAUCACUGCUCCUUGGGGUUGCAGUAACCACUUCCUUUGUACUUCCUCUGAUUCUAGGGAUGGGCUGGGAAAGGCCUAGCUUCUGUAAGUACCAGGUCACUGCACUCGCCUUGUUGGUUUCCUUAAACUCACAGCUUUAUAAACAGUGUCUCACAAGCCCUCCUGAAAAUUCAGGUUCAGCAUUUACUGUCUUCACCGUUGGGCCCCUGCUUGACAAACAAAUUCUCUUAAAGGAAUGCUGCAGAACUGACAGUCUGGGCGCUAGCAGGCAGCUGCAGAGGGGCAGAAGUCUUGCAGAAUACUAGGACUGACUUAGAAAGUCAAGUUUUCUCAUGGUUCCUGGAUCAUGGAGAAAAUGAACAAUCCCUCCAAUAAGAUGGCCCUCUAACUCCAGGACACAUGGCCCUGAUUUUGCAUGAAAUGCUGCAGAGAAUGCAUGAGAGCCCAAAUGGCUGUCAGGACUGUCUGCAUUUCCCACCAUGCUGAUGACGGAGCAUGCAUCACCAGGGAUGGGUGCUCCUGCCUCUCCGUGGUGUGAAUUUAUGGCUGACAAGUGACUGUCCAGCCAGGGACUGCAUUUCCCAGCCCCGAUGCACCAGGUCAAGGUCAGGUGCAUGAGUUCUAACCGCAGCAGUAUGAGUAGAAGUGAUACAGGCUACGUCACAGCCAUCUGCACACUGUCACCAGAGAGCCCAGGAACAGAACAAGAUGCUACACUCAGUAAGGAGAUUCCUUACGUCAGUUCAGGAACACAGAUGUGUCCUCUCCUCCUUCAAGUCCCACCGCACACAUUCCCCUUAGACAUCCCUGGGUCGCCUCCCUAAACAACAGCUGUCGUGUGCCUGUUUAGCAAUCAAACUCAAAUGCCUAGGAUAUCACAAAAUCUUUCAUGAACACAAAACCUCACUUUCUAAAUUUUGUGUGUGUGUGUGCAUGUGUGUGUGUGUGUGUGUGUAUUUGAGAGGCAGAGAAACAGAGACAGAGGAAGAGAGCGUGGCCCAUCCACUGGUUCACUCCCCAAAGUGCUUUCAAUGGCUAGGGCUGAGCCAGACCAAAGCCUGGGCUUGGGAACUCAAUCCAGGUCUCCAUCAGGAUUGGCAAGAACUCAACACCUGAGCCAUCACCUACUGCCUACCAGGGUUCACACCAUCAAUUGGGAAUCAAAGCCAGGAUUGGAACCCAGGUUCUCGGACACGGGACAUGAGGGUCCCAGUUGGCAGCCUGACUGCCAAGCCAUGUACUUGCCCCAAAAUCUCAUUUUUAAAAGAGGAAGAAUUAUCUCCAUUUAAUAGGACUUCAGUUGAAGAGAGGCAAGUGACUAGUCCAAGAUUUGAAGCCACAUUUCCUGAUUUCAGCGGCAGCAGUGGUGGUAUUUUUUCAUAGUUCCUUCUUCUGGACAGUGGUAGCCAAUGGCAUCCCCAGGCAUUCCAAAAAAAAAAAAAAUACCUGAGGUUAGCCAGCUGUAGCCCACCUGUCUGUAAGGAACAGCCUACUUGAGCCAAAAGGAAAAAAUAAUAAUUUCUCCAAAUUGUUGAUCUACUCGAAUGCCUAGGCCAUGAGGGUCUGGCCAUCUGUCUACCAUUCUCCUUGCAUAACUGACCACUGCCAGGUGUCAUGCCAGCUGGCAUGGAUUAAUUACUUAGUAUAAAUCAAGUCCACUAUAAUUAAUCAUGCAAACUUGAGCCCUUUAUAUCCACUGCUGCUAGACACAAAGCAUACACCUAGGACACUAUGACGGCUUAGUGACCGAAAUGAAGAUAGGAAGAAGGCCUUGAAUGCACUUGGUUUGUGUUGAAUCAAGUCCAAUGCUCAUUUGCCCAGCAGUGACCCUCUCCACUCACUUUUGCAAUCCAUGAAAAAUUCAUGUGGCUUGAGCACCUAUAGAUUUCUGAUCUUGUGACCCACUACAGAAAACCCUCAACCAAACGCUCUGUGAACCAUCCCCUUUGCUUGCUUCCACCUACCAGCUCAGUACAUUCCACACCCACUGGCACAAGACACAGGAGGGCAUUGCUAAGGUUACCAUGGCAGCCCUCCAUUGACCCCCCCUACCCAGGGCUCCCAGGGGACAUUCGCCCACACCAUCCUCUCUA
Non-coding RNA from Oryctolagus cuniculus (rabbit), 6324 nucleotides. Lineage: Eukaryota; Metazoa; Chordata; Mammalia; Lagomorpha; Leporidae. The record is from RefSeq and is a predicted model, not a curated record.